This 73-nucleotide transfer RNA is filed under the name Camelus bactrianus (Bactrian camel). It matches the Rfam family "tRNA". Rfam says of the family: Transfer RNA (tRNA) molecules are approximately 80 nucleotides in length. Their secondary structure includes four short double-helical elements and three loops (D, anti-codon, and T loops). The record is from Rfam by way of RNAcentral. Lineage: Eukaryota; Metazoa; Chordata; Mammalia; Artiodactyla; Camelidae. RNAcentral also lists the same sequence under 2 other names.
AAAGGUAUAGCUCAAGUGGUGGAGCACAGACUUAGCAUGCACAACGUCCUGGGUUCAAUUCCCAGUACCUUCU